RNA transcript from Octopus sinensis (East Asian common octopus), 4223 nucleotides. It is a transcript of the gene named fos-related antigen 2, with no coding region annotated. Lineage: Eukaryota; Metazoa; Mollusca; Cephalopoda; Octopoda; Octopodidae. The record is from RefSeq and is a predicted model, not a curated record. The transcript has 5 exons.
GUAUUUCCCCUUCACAAUUUUCACAGACUGAGUCAUAGACUGCGGCGGAGGUCUCUGAGAGCGAUAGAGGGAGAAGGUGUGUGUGUGUGCUCGUGCUAGAGAGGGAGGGUAAACUUAGCGGAAGUGUAAAAAGCUUGACUCACAGGCCUACGAUAUAUUACUACCACCUCUGAUCACUGAACUGUUUUUGGUGUUUGAAAAAAAAAAAAAAGGAAAGAAAAAACUCACACAUACAUACACACACUUUGAAAGAAAUACAAGAUUGAUAAAAAAAAAAAAAGAUCAUUAAAAAUUGAAAAUUCGAUCUUCGAUCUUCAAGAACCAAUAUAUAUAUAAACGCAUGAAAAGAUAUCGCACAAUUCACGGUUCACACCUCUGCACUGGACAUUGAACAACGCAUUAAUGAAAGAAAUCGAAAACAAUAGACUUCGUAGAAAGACAGUUCGAAAAGCAAUACUUUUCCUUUUUAACAAUUAUUUGAAAAAUCCAUCCUAAACAAAUCAGAUAUAUCUAUAUUUUUUUCCCAUUCCCGGUUUGUUUCAAAGUAAAAAUUACUUGAAAUCUUUUCGCUAACGAUUGAAAUAUUAAGUUGAAAGAUAAUACAAUGUACAAUUCGAGAGAAAAGGAAGCCGGUAGUAGUAGCAAUACACCUAGUGUGUCUACUAGCGUUACAACGACCAACAUUACCAAUUAUACCAACAGUCAUCACCAGGAUUCUAAAUACGUGGCUGACAUCCUGUCAUCUAUGGCAAACGGAGACCCUGUUUCCCAGAAUCAAUACUCUAUACCUGGAUUUGUUUGCGGAGUUACAACGGCAACGACACCAACGUUAACACCAACAACUUUUGUCAACUUGGAACAAGCCUUCAUCGAACUUCAAUCGGUUCCAGUAAGUUCAGCAAAUCAAGAUCCACUCACACAAAGUGGAUUUGUACCACCCAUAGUAGAGCCUGUUGGAGUUAGUUCAAAUGAGCACAUUUCAUCUAACUCCGCGGGCACCGCAAAUUCUGGUGCGUCCAUGGAUCGUUACCAAUACGACUCUGAUGAUGCCGAAUGGGAGACUAAAAGACCACGUUCGUCCACUGGUAGCAGUGCAUCUUCCAAGGGAUCCCCUACAUACAGUUCUUCCUCAAGACAAGAUAAAAAAGAUGACCUUGGGCAAUCCUACUUUAACAGUAGAUUAUGUCCAGAAGAAGAAGAACGUCGACGAAUUCGUAGAGAAAGGAACAAGAUAGCUGCAGCAAAAUGUCGUCAACGAAGAGUUGACCACACCAAUCGCCUUAUUCAGGAAACUGUAAAGCUCGAAGAGGAACGCAGCCAUCUUGAAGAUGAAAUUCAAACUUUGAAACAGCAGAAAGAUCGUCUGGAAUUUAUUCUCCAAGCCCAUCGGCCUGACUGCAAAGCUGAUGGAAAAAUAAACCAGUCUUCUAACCUGCAUACCAUCAAGAUCAAGACAGAGAUUGAUUCUCAUCAAAAUUCCUGUUCUCAUAAAAAUGAUGCUCGAUUACGCAUGACGGAGCCAAAUCAGACACUUCCAUUGACUGUUGUUAAACAAGAAAAGGGUGUCCAUCUGGGAAAUAAUGGACAAGGAGGUUCUGGUGCUAACCCAGAUGGAAGUAUCAACAUCAGCAAUGUGCAUGGCAAUGCAUAUUACGGUUUCACAGAUUUGGAUAAUAUUGUUGAUGCAAAUCAAGCUCUACCUCCUGUAAGUGGGCAGUCAUGUGCUAGUCAAGUUCACAAGAAUUCGGCCGAAAGUAGUUCAGAUCAAGUUGGUUCUCCAACACUCAUAUCACUGUAAAGUGGAGCUAAGAAUUUGAGUAACUCUUUCUCCAUUCUAAAUAAAUAUAUAUAUAUAUAUAUAUACACAUAUAUAUAUACACACACACACAUAUAUACAUAUAUGUAUGGAUCAUAUGUUACAAACUGUGUUAAACAGUUUGUAUAUUUAAAAAAAAAAGCAUAAUUUACAUCAUUCCAUGAAUUCUACAAUGUAAAAUAUUCCUGUUUACUUUUUGAAUAAUUAUGCUUUUUCUUAGCAUAAUUGCUUCCUUAUUGCACUAAUGUUUUAUUGGUGUUGGGUUGUUUUAUAAGCCAACCGUAAUGAGGAAUGAAAUUGUCCUUAUUUUAGUUGCAUUCAAUGAGGAAUUUUUUUACAUCUCAAGUGCCAGUUAUUUAUUUUUUUAAUGAAAUGAAAGGCUAACAUGCUUUUAAAUGUUCUAAUUUUAAUCAAAUGCUGUGAAGUUUUUUUAUCUGCUCUUUUGAAACAUUAAUCUUUGGAGUAAAUUUUUAUUGGUGGGUUCUAACUUUUUCUUACCCACAAUUCCUUUUUGUAAACUUUUUUACACUAAAAUAAAAAAAAACAUACCUUUUCAUCUCUUCCACCAAUUUUUGUAUUCAUAGAAAGAGUUACUACAAUUCUGUUCACACAUAAGCAUUCUGCCUUUUUUAAUUUGCUAUGAAAGAUUUACGCUUAUUGUACCUGGAGCUUUUUUUCCAGCAAUAGGAGAAAAGAUAUUGGUGAGCUUAAUCUACCAUCCAGACAAUGUUUGUCAAAAAAAAGAUGAAAAAAAAAACAACUACGAUUAAAAAAGAAAAUAACUCUUCAUAUCUUUUUUAAUAUAUAUUUUCUUUUAAUUCAGGUUUUAAGAAAAUCAAAUAAGUAAUUUAUCCUUUCUGUCCAUCCAAAACUCUUCUCUGAGAGUUUUGAGCUAGAAACAUUGCCUUAUGCCAAAAUUAUUCUUCUAAUGUAAAAUCCAGUCCUUUAUUUAUACGUCAGGGCACAUGAGUGUAUGAUGGAUAUUCUGUUUCGUCUUUGUUUAUUAUAAAAUGCAAUAUUAUGCCACCAUGUGUAUGCCAACUCACUGUUAAUUCUGUUUACUUUCAACGCUAAAGUAAAUAAUAGAUCAAUCUUUCCGAAUGUUGAAUGCAAUAGUUUAUAUUUUGUUCCUUUCGCGCGCAUGAGUGUAAGGGUGUCUGUGUGUGUGUAUGUUCUAAAUGCAUUAUGCACUUCCUUUUCUAUGUAAAUGUACAUGUGUGUGUGUAAGACAGAGAGUGCGUUUACAAGUGUCUAUAUAUAUUGCUUCAAUGUGUUCCUCUCUAUCGCAUUACAUAUAUUUGUCACUAUAUUUGUGUCCAGUAAACCGUAAAAAUCACACUUAAAAGAUUUAUUUUUUUCUCUUGAUAUUUUCUUAAUAUAUAUAUUUCCUUUUUUUAGUAUCAAAAUUUUUCUAAUCAGCAAAAGGGAAUUUUAGAAAUUAUUUUUCCUACAAACUCAUUUAUACAAUGACGAUAUAAUAAACUCAACAGAAUUUUUUGUCCUCAAUAUUUUUGCAAUUUUUGAAGACAUUUUCUUCCCCCCCUGCCGCUUAAACAAUUCAUUGAAAUCAAUUUUUAAAAGCUGUACUUUUCGUUCUUCGAAUCAUUUAAAUCAUGUAAUAUUUCUUACCAAAGGAUAUUUUGCUUAUUAAUUUACUUUGAUCAUUAUUAUUAAUUAUCAUUAUUAUUAAUAUUAUUCCAUUAAAAAAAAUAAAUAAAAAGACCACUAAAAUCCCGAAAGGAAGUUUUGAUGCAAAAAUGCGCUAACAGAAAGAAAAAAAAUAUUGGAAAAAAAAAAUGAAAACAAAUACAUAUAUCAUAAUAUUUAUAAGUAAAAUUGAUUUCAAAAUUAUAUUUUAAAUAUUUAAACAUAAGAACUCUGUGCUGGUAACAGAGUGAGAUAUAUAUGUGUGUGUAUAUAUCUAUAUUUUAUAAGAUGUAUGUGUAUAUAUACAUAUGUAUAUAUAUAUAUGUAUAUACAUAUAUAUUUAUGCAUAUAUAUAUUAUUAGAUAACGAAUCAUAUGGUAUACACCUGGUAGAUUACCGGUAAAGCACGUUCACUUUCACAGUGUUCGUUAGGUAUUUGAUUAAUGAGAGAGAUGGAAGAUACAAGAAUGUUUAUUGAUCACUAUAAUUGUUUCAACCCAUCUAGUAUCAGUCCCUCAUGAGUGUGAUACUGGACAUCUGGUUUAGGUGUAUCUGUCGAUGUAGAUGUGUCCCCUCAAGUGAUUAUAAGAUGUAUCUCAUUAAAAUAAUGUCUGUUCCAUAAGAUUUCUUCUUGGAAUGUGUAUACAAAAGCAGCAACUUAGGGAUACAGCUUCAUUAUUAUAGAAGAUCAAUAACAGAAAUCAGAUGCAAAAAAAAAAAAAACAAGUACACAAUACAGUGAAAGAAGUGUUAGAUAUAA